RNA transcript from Haliotis rubra (blacklip abalone), 3727 nucleotides. RefSeq lists it as uncharacterized. The transcript is spliced from 5 exons. NCBI's taxonomy places the organism in Eukaryota, Metazoa, Mollusca, Gastropoda, Lepetellida, Haliotidae. The record is from RefSeq and is a predicted model, not a curated record.
AGAUAUUAUAACUUGUCAUAGAUGCGAUAGAAUCCUAUGGUCUAAGGAUUCUAUUGAGUCUUAACAGGUAAAUUGUUGUAUAAUUACAACUACAAUCUUGUUUUACACUGUCAUACACCAUGUAUUAAAUAUAUAGGGGAUGAGACGUUUCUCUCAGCAAUAUGCCCGGGCGUACUAUGCCGCGGAGGGGAUGUCUGUACAUCAGAAAUGGGCUUCUUGACUACAUUCAAAAGGAGAAUUGAACCGUGGUUUUCUCAACAGUUGUGUGCAAAACAAAAUGAGGAAUGAUGAACGUGACCAGAGGUGAUGAAGGUGUGUGUUCCAGAUGUACUCAAGUACGGAAGAUAUUCAUAGAGAAGGAGAACCGUGAACCAGUCAACAAACUUUUACCGGUUCACACCGAAAUUAAGAUUCUAACCGAGGGUGGCAGGAGAAGACAAGGAGAAGAACCAAAGAAAACAGGAAAGAAGAGAUUUGCGGAUCAAGUCGCCAAAGCAGCGUCAGCAUUACGUAACAGCGGUGGAGGAGUGUUGUUAGUCCACGUACAAGGGACGUCCCAGGAAGACCGGUGUCUGGAGUACUUUGACGAGGCCGUCAGAAAGGAGUUGACAGGGUUACUUGAAAACGGUGAACUCUAUACUGACGUCUAUGAACGUAAAUGUUUGUGUCAGAUUGAAACAUUUGAAGAUAUCACUGACUUUGUUCAGAUAACAGUUGGGAAAGUUGAGAGUGUAUGUACUGUUGAUUUCAACACAAAAGCAAGUAAUGACAGUGAGAAUCUUAGCAUCAACUCAUUAAACAUACAGGUGUUACUGAGAAAAACAGAAACUCCAGCAGGUAGCGUCCCUUCUGCAGAGCUGCCAGAUAACGUCCAGGACCUUCACGAGAAUCGACAUAUACAACUGAAAACAUUCAGGACCACGAGAGAAGUAACAAGCAUUAAGGGAGAUGCUAAACAGUUGACUGACUACAUAUGGAAGACAUUGAAGCUCAAGGACAACAUUACAUCUAUGUCCAAGGUUGUUGGUGGGGGGUCAUACUUCUUGGGUGUUAGCGAAUCGAAACUAACAACAAAAGAAGGAUAUGCAACUAAGAAACCGGAAUACACUGGUUUUAAGCUGGACAUAUCACAAGAGUCUCUGAGAGAACACAUUUACAAGAAGCUGGAAACUGACAUCUGUGUCUUGGAUCUUGACGGACAUUUUACAGAAGGACCAAGGGACUUGGUCGAUAUUAGAUUCCACACCAUACGGAAUGCUGGCUUAGUUGUAUUGGAAGUUGCCAUUCGUUAUUGUCAGGGAGUCGUGUUCUACGACAAAGAAGGACCCAGAACAUAUUUUGUCACAGAUAGCGGUGCGACAAAGACGGAAAAUGUUUGUCGAAUGAAUCGUUCUGAAUGGCUUCGAAGAUUACAGAUCAUGCACUCUCAUUUUCAUACUUAAACUGUUGGGAAGUAGCUGCUCAAUCUAUGACAGUCUAAACUAAUAACUCACGUAGAUCAACAUUUGACAUUUGAGUAUAGUUUGAUAAGCAACCAUGUCCGACAGUGACGCUGGAACAUCAACUGGUUCUACACCUUAUGAGUCGGAGGAUGACAUGAUAUGCUACAUCACCGGAUCCACACAAUCACCAUCCGAGCAUCCUGACCAGGAACCAGAUGCCAGACGACUCAAUGAAAGAAGUUUGCAUUCCCGACAGAUGCAGACAGAAACGACGCCAUUGGCUGGGGCAUCAGUAGCUGCUGCUGACGGUGUCCUGGGUCCUGACACAAACAACCAUUUGAACAAGACAAGCGUUUCUAACAGCGAUGUGCCGUCAACUGUACCUGCUGAUGGCAGUGCGGAAAGUCCAUACAUGAGAACUCCUGACAGAACAGUUAUCAACCGGCUAUCUGUGCUUUCUGACGAUGGUAUUUACCCAAGCAGUCGGCGACGUCUGAAAAAAAACAAAAUGGGCAAAAAGUCAAAGUACCAGGUGUCUGAAGCUCCAGCUUCUGCUGCCAAGAAGAGUAAUUUGGGCAGAACUGAAUCUGUAGCUUCUACGGACAGUGGCAUAGGUAGUAUGCGAAAUCUUAGGAGUCGGAGGGAGAUGAGUGAUAGGGUUUAUACAACCACUGCCAGAUGAAACAAAAUUUGGGGCAGAGAAGCUUAGACGAGGCAUCUGUAGUUUCUGGCAACAGUGGCGUGGGUAGUGACACAAUCAAACUGCAUAUCUUGAAGGUGGCACAAUUGUGCUCUCUGUGAGCUACCUGUUAUCCAUUUCCUGUUGAUGUUAAGUGCUGCUUAUUUCCACUUCUCGUGUAUUUGUUCCUGUUACUCCAACUUGAUAAAUGAAACACUGCUGUAUGAUUACGGGGUGGGAUAAGUUAUGUUUCUAUAUAUAUAUGAACCUUCUUGCGCCUAACGGGCAGCUUGGGGUAUCCGGGGUAAUAAUGUCGGUGCGGGCUGGCCUUAUUAUCAAUAUUAUCAAUGUUUAUUGAUUGGGAGACCAUUUACACUGUUAAAUGCGUCUACAAAGAAAUUUUAUCCUUUUUUAUCCCAUAUCUGGCUGAACUUAAUACUGCUUUAAGGAAUUCUAUAUCAAAACCAGACGCCGCUAUCAAUCAAAAAUGUAGAAAUUUAAAAUGAAAACGUUAAAAACUGAAACUGUUACCUGAGUGAGUGAGUAAAUAUUGCUUAAUACCCCAUCAGCAAUGUUGCAGUUAUUUGUGGCCACUACAGGUACCUAGGCACUAUCAUUAACUAUAAACCAACUUGGAAAGAAAAUACUGAAUAUGAGUGCAAAAACUGCCAACAAAGGUUGUAUAUUUUGCGAUGUGUAUGUCAAUUCGAAGUUGAUUAAACUCUUACGGGCUUGAGCUUUUUCAUAAAACAUUUAUCCGAAGCAUAUUAAUUAUUUUUGCUAUAUUUUCUCUGUUGCUUCGGCGACCUCUCUGUAAAAAGACCUACACUGAAUACAACAAGAAAUUAUUGUCCCUCCAGCUUUAACAACUCCCAUCGGCUUACUUUACAAGCAGCAAGUGGUUAAGGCGGUACAGAACCCUUUAAACGACAGUUCCCAUUUUGUGUCCAGCAACUUGACAUAACCUUCAGGACACCGCUUGCCAGUGUCGAUUAUUAACAACAAACAGGUCUUACCAUUCAUUUAUCCCUUGUAUAUAGUAUCAGAGCUUUCAACAAUUAUCAAUGUAUUUUGGUAAAUUGUUCUCGGUUAUUCCAUUAAUUUGUGUUCUUUUUUUUCUUGACAACCCCAGCUUUACCUUUCUAGUGUUGUACAAGAUCUUACCAUUUUUUGUCCAAGUCAGUAUACGAGCUUUCAAUAUCAAUUUGCUAUUAGCUUCUUGAAUAGUUAUGCCUUUCACUAUAACUGUUAUGCAUAUCUUAGACGACGUUUUCUGUUACAUUUCAGUGCUUCAAUGUACACUAUAUGCUCCCCAUAAUCCACUAUCCGAGCUUUAUUCAACAAGCCUAUUACUGUUACAUAUACUGGACAAACUAAGUUAGGGAUAUUGGUAUUUUUAUGAUUGAUACUUUAUCAGUGUGUCAAUGAAUAAACAUAUCAUUAUUCAUAAUUUCAAAAUUUAUAUAUAUCCCUUUUUGUCCAGUAUAUUUCUGCACCAUGAAUUCUGUAACAUUCCUAGUGCCGUACAAACACUGGAUACGUAUGUUUAUAUAUGUUGUUUAUUUUAUUUUUAUGCAUUCUUUUAAAAUAAAAUAUUAAAUGGUUA